This is a long non-coding RNA of Acyrthosiphon pisum (pea aphid), 2354 nucleotides long. RefSeq lists it as uncharacterized. NCBI's taxonomy places the organism in Eukaryota, Metazoa, Arthropoda, Insecta, Hemiptera, Aphididae. The transcript is spliced from 8 exons. The record is from RefSeq and is a predicted model, not a curated record.
ACUGCUAAAUGAUAACGUUAUCGUAAUCUGAUCAAGACGAAAUAAUUUUGAACUUAGUUGAUACCUACCUACUUGAUAUUUUGUUAAUUGUUAUUACUUAUUAUUAUUUACCUACCUUACUUACUAUUUCACUAUUGUCAACAUUUUAUUUCGACUGAAAUCGACAUAUAUUAUUAUACUUCUCUAUGACUGAAAUAUGUCGCAUCGUUGCGGGCGGCGAGCCGGAGCAAAAUAGACAACCUACUCUUCGACCGACAACAACAGCGAUGACGUUCGUUCCUAUUAAAUCUAGUUUUCAGACCAAUUGGUUUGGUCAUUGGUUACGACUUUGCCCGCGCAGGAUUGCACGUUAAGCAUGUUGGACACAAGGUCUGGGCCUUUUAGUCGUGUUGGUUCCAAAGCGGAAGUUUCACUGCUGUGUUGUCCUUCUCAUACAGUGGUGCUGAAGUAAAAAUAUAAAUCUAGGACAAACAUCAAAAAUCAAAACACCGCCCUCAAAAUAUAUUACAAAAUGGUCAAUUCUAAAACCAGAUCUCUUAAUAUAUCUACUUACAGUUGAAACAGAAGAAAGGAUCAUCAAACAGCAUUGUCAUUACAAAAAUAUGUAUACAAAUAUGUUUGUCAAAUUGGAUAAAAAAAAUUAACUUACUGAAAAAGCUGACCUUUUGCACUUGUGAACAAGAUAUAAAAUUAUAUUAUAUUAUAUUAUAUUAUAUAAUUAUAUCAUAUUGGACAAAUUAAGAGGAAUAUGGAAAAUAUGCUGAUUAUGUGGAUUUAAAGCAACAAUAUCAACAAAUGCAGUAAUGAUCUUCGGUUUGUACAAUUCAUGAAACAGCGGCAUAGAACAAGAUACAGGACAUCUUAAUAUUGUUAUGGAAUGUCGAAAAGAAGAAAGUCAUUCAAGAUAGAUUCUUCAUAUUACACAAGUUUCCAUGGGUUAUUAGUGCUGUGGACUGUAAUCACAUUAGAAUUCAGACACCCAACGCCAACAAAGGAGAAAUCGGAAAGGUAACAGGCCAAUUGUAACAGCAAUUUAAAUAUUAUGCAUAUCGCUGCUAGGUGGUUCAAUCCACGAUAGCACAAUUUUUGGCAACAUUAUGAUAAGAGUUAAUUUUGAAAAUUAUGAAGUUGGAAAUUGCUUCUUAUUAGGAGAUGGUGGAUUUCCUUGCCGCGACUCUUCUUAAUCCUAAUACUGACACAGAGAAAUGAUAUCAGAUGAACCUUACAAGACCAUUGUGUUGUGAUUUUCGUGACUGAGUGGUAUUUCAAUAUUUUGGUCGUAUCAACUGCACUUUUCACCAGCAUUGAAAGUAUCUGGUGGCCAAGGACAAAAUAGAUUACGUGAACUCCUGUUAGUCAUUUUUUUCCUACUAAUUCUAUGAUGGAUAAAUCGUCCACAUUUGUUAUGCUCGUAAAGCUGCAUAAAGCCAGUUAAAAUAUGUAAAAACCUAAAGAUCCGCUCUCUAGUUAUAAGGGACCAAAAUAAAAGCAUCUAACUAGAUAUUCUGACCUAAAUUAUCUACUUUCUUAUCGAAACUGUAGUUAUCAAAUCUUUAGCAAUUUGAAAAAAAAUUAUGAAUAAAUAAUUCAAAUUUGUUAACUAAAUUUGUUGUAUUUUAAGUCUUAUUGGCCGUUGUACAAAAUUGUAGAUUCUGAGUUACAAUAUAUUGUAAACAAAUUCUGGUUUUACUAAAGAAGUGGUAUGACAUUUGUUAAUGUAAAAUAUAUUUAGCUAUUACAAAAAAAAAAAUGUAUUUAUGUGCAUUAUCUUGCUGGGCAGACUAUAGUUACUUAAUAUAUAAUACAAUUAUUUGAAACAAUACCAAAUGAUCAUAGUAAUAGAACAUAAAUUGUGGUAAUAACAUAGGUGAACCUAAAGAAUAAUACUAAUAUUUUUACUAUAAACUAAACUUAACUUAUGAUGUCAAAACAGUAAGAGAUGGAUAAAUCGUCCACAUUUGUUAUGCUUGUAAAGCUGCAUAAAACCAAUAAAAAUAUGUAAAAACCUAAAGAUCCGCUCUCUAGUUAUGAGGGACAAAAAUAAAAGCAUCUAACUAGAUAUUCUGACCUAAAUUAACUACUUUCUUAUCGAAAACUGUAGGUAUCUAAUUUUUAUGGCUCUAUUAUAUUAAAUGAGUAUAAUAUUAUAUUAAUUAAAAUAAUUUGUAAUAAUUUGUAGGAGAUGAUGAUUAACAAUAACAACAUUAAGUUUUCUAUGAGACACUUUUUCGAUACAAUACAUUUUUAUUUUUUCUUAACACUUAAUUUUUAAAUUAUUGUGAUGUAGUUUUAAAUUAUAGGAGCAUUGCCCAAAAUCUAUGAUUACUGAUUAAUAAUUGUUAGUAUUUAUUUUA